RNAcentral lists this microRNA precursor (103 nucleotides) under Equus caballus (horse). RNAcentral's name for it is "microRNA mir-8925 (MIR8925)". Lineage: Eukaryota; Metazoa; Chordata; Mammalia; Perissodactyla; Equidae. The record is from RNAcentral.
GGCCCAGAAUAUGGAGGGACAUGCCUCAGGCAUGAAAGUUAGAGCACUGAAGGUGCGAGGAGACAUUUCACGCCAGUGGGGAUGUUUCACAGACACCUGCCCU